UGGUUAAGUGUGUACAAUGCG
Molecule: unclassified non-coding RNA, 21 nt
Filed under: Chlamydomonas reinhardtii
Lineage: Eukaryota; Viridiplantae; Chlorophyta; Chlorophyceae; Chlamydomonadales; Chlamydomonadaceae
Description: small RNA Cre_3495
Source: RNAcentral